GACAGAGGGUGCAAACGUUGCUCGGAUUUACUGGGCGUAAAGCGCAUGUAGGCGGGACUUUAAGUCGGGUGUGAAAUCCCUGGGCUCAACCUAGGAACUGCAUCCGAAACUGAGGUUCUGGAGUAGUGGAGAGGAAAGCGGAAUUCCGGGUGUAGAGGUGAAAUUCGUAGAUAUCCGGAGGAACACCAGUGGCGAAGGCGGCUUUCUGGACACUAACUGACGCUGAGAUGCGAAAGCGUGGGGAGCAAAC
This 250-nucleotide ribosomal RNA is filed under the name uncultured bacterium. Its description in RNAcentral is "partial 16S ribosomal RNA". It matches the Rfam family "Bacterial small subunit ribosomal RNA", at positions 524 to 773 of the family's 1533-position model. The record is from RNAcentral.